This 591-nucleotide ribosomal RNA is filed under the name Debaryomyces hansenii. Its description in RNAcentral is "LSU rRNA". It matches the Rfam family "Eukaryotic large subunit ribosomal RNA", at positions 66 to 671 of the family's 3401-position model. Lineage: Eukaryota; Fungi; Ascomycota; Pichiomycetes; Serinales; Debaryomycetaceae. The record is from RNAcentral.
CAUCGGGGGUAUGCCCUUAGUACGGCGAGUGAAGCGGCAAAAGCUCAAAUUUGAAAUCUGGCACCUUCGGUGUCCGAGUUGUAAUUUGAAGAAGGUAACUUUGGAGUUGGCUCUUGUCUAUGUUCCUUGGAACAGGACGUCACAGAGGGUGAGAAUCCCGUGCGAUGAGAUGCCCAAUUCUAUGUAAAGUGCUUUCGAAGAGUCGAGUUGUUUGGGAAUGCAGCUCUAAGUGGGUGGUAAAUUCCAUCUAAAGCUAAAUAUUGGCGAGAGACCGAUAGCGAACAAGUACAGUGAUGGAAAGAUGAAAAGAACUUUGAAAAGAGAGUGAAAAAGUACGUGAAAUUGUUGAAAGGGAAGGGCUUGAGAUCAGACUUGGUAUUUUGCGAUCCUUUCCUUCUUGGUUGGGUUCCUCGCAGCUUACUGGGCCAGCAUCGGUUUGGAUGGUAGGAUAAUGACUAAGGAAUGUGGCUCUACUUCGGUGGAGUGUUAUAGCCUUGGUUGAUACUGCCUGUCUAGACCGAGGACUGCGUCUUUUGACUAGGAUGUUGGCAUAAUGAUCUUAAGCCACCCGUCUUGAAACACAGACCAAAA